RNAcentral lists this long non-coding RNA (238 nucleotides) under Lathyrus oleraceus (garden pea). RNAcentral's name for it is "Pisum sativum (pea) long non-coding RNA (PSAT_LNC024317)". Lineage: Eukaryota; Viridiplantae; Streptophyta; Magnoliopsida; Fabales; Fabaceae. The record is from RNAcentral.
UUACCUCUGCUAUGAUAAGAAGACACGACAUUUGCAUCCCCUUCUCUCCUCUUCUGUCCUCCUAAGAAUGGCUUCUUUGACCCCUGUCAUACCCCGAAAUUCACCCUACUCUGAUACAACUUUCAUCUGAUCCAUGGCCCUACUGCACAUGCAUGCUUUCAUUAUCUCCUCGUCAUAAUUAUAUUAACUUUCAUAACCAAAUACAUAUUGCAUGGGAUCAAAGCAUGAUAUAAAAAAA